UUUGUCCUACGGGGGGCAGCAGUGGGGAAUAUUGGGCAAUGGGCGAAAGCCUGACCCAGCAACGCCGCGUGAAGGAAGAAGGCUUUCGGGUUGUAAACUUCUUUUGUCAGGGACGAAGCAAGUGACGGUACCUGACGAAUAAGCCACGGCUAACUACGUGCCAGCAGCCGCGGUAAUACGUAGGUGGCAAGCGUUAUCCGGAUUUACUGGGUGUAAAGGGCGUGUAGGCGGGACUGCAAGUCAGAUGUGAAAACUCAGGGCUCAACCCUGAGCCUGCAUUUGAAA
This 285-nucleotide ribosomal RNA is filed under the name uncultured bacterium. RNAcentral describes it as "partial 16S ribosomal RNA". It matches the Rfam family "Bacterial small subunit ribosomal RNA", at positions 333 to 632 of the family's 1533-position model. The record is from RNAcentral.